UUGUUCGCAUCGUCACGUUGUCUUUUAAGGGAGCCGGAUUUAGCAGUGCUUGACAGUUCUUUAGCGUUUUGGGCAGCAUUCUUUGAAGUAGCAAUUCGUUUGGAAGCUCCAGUUAUUGAGAGUUUUCCACUGUCUGGUUUCAUAGGAACAGGACGCGAAACAGCGGGUCGUUGAACACCUUUUUGUUUGCCUGUUCCUUGAAGUCUUGCACUCAGAGAUUUACCGGAAGGUUCUCUCUUGGCUGACGAAGCUUCUGUAGCAUUCUGACCAACAUCAGCUUUGCUAGCUGUUGGUUUGGAAGUAACAGGCUUUGUUUCUGUUACAGAAGACGUAGAUUCAUCAG
Molecule: non-coding RNA, 343 nt
Organism: Schizosaccharomyces pombe (fission yeast)
Lineage: Eukaryota; Fungi; Ascomycota; Schizosaccharomycetes; Schizosaccharomycetales; Schizosaccharomycetaceae
Source: the annotation of a GenBank genome assembly